This 493-nucleotide ribosomal RNA is filed under the name uncultured bacterium. Its description in RNAcentral is "bacterial SSU rRNA". It matches the Rfam family "Bacterial small subunit ribosomal RNA", at positions 28 to 517 of the family's 1533-position model. The record is from RNAcentral.
GAUGAACGCUAGCGGCAGGCCUAAUACAUGCAAGUCGAGGGGCAGCGCGGUAGCAAUACUGGCGGCGACCGGCGCACGGGUGCGUAACACGUAUGCAACCUACCUUCAACUGGAGGAUAGCCCGGGGAAACUCGGAUUAAUACUCCAUAACACAGGGAUCCCGCAUGGGAAUAUUGUUAAAGCUACGGCGGUUGAAGAUGGGCAUGCGUUCGAUUAGCUAGUUGGUGUAGGUAACGGCUCACCAAGGCUACGAUCGAUAGGGGGUCUGAGAGGAUGAUCCCCCACACUGGUACUGAGAUACGGACCAGACUCCUACGGGAGGCAGCAGUAGGGAAUAUUGGUCAAUGGAUGGAAGUCUGAACCAGCCAUGCCGCGUGCAGGAAGAAGGCCCUUCUGGGGUUGUAAACUGCUUUUGCCAGGGGAUAAAAUGACCUUGCGAGGUUAAUGAAGGUACCUGGUGAAUAAGCCACGGCUAACUACGUGCCAGCAGCCG